This 653-nucleotide ribosomal RNA is filed under the name Escherichia coli. Its description in RNAcentral is "bacterial SSU rRNA". It matches the Rfam family "Bacterial small subunit ribosomal RNA", at positions 138 to 786 of the family's 1533-position model. Lineage: Bacteria; Pseudomonadati; Pseudomonadota; Gammaproteobacteria; Enterobacterales; Enterobacteriaceae. The record is from RNAcentral.
GGGGGAUAACUACUGGAAACGGUAGCUAAUACCGCAUAACGUCGCAAGACCAAAGAGGGGGACCUUCGGGCCUCUUGCCAUCGGAUGUGCCCAGAUGGGAUUAGCUUGUUGGUGGGGUAACGGCUCACCAAGGCGACGAUCCCUAGCUGGUCUGAGAGGAUGACCAGCCACACUGGAACUGAGACACGGUCCAGACUCCUACGGGAGGCAGCAGUGGGGAAUAUUGCACAAUGGGCGCAAGCCUGAUGCAGCCAUGCCGCGUGUAUGAAGAAGGCCUUCGGGUUGUAAAGUACUUUCAGCGGGGAGGAAGGGAGUAAAGUUAAUACCUUUGCUCAUUGACGUUACCCGCAGAAGAAGCACCGGCUAACUCCGUGCCAGCAGCCGCGGUAAUACGGAGGGUGCAAGCGUUAAUCGGAAUUACUGGGCGUAAAGCGCACGCAGGCGGUUUGUUAAGUCAGAUGUGAAAUCCCCGGGCUCAACCUGGGAACUGCAUCUGAUACUGGCAAGCUUGAGUCUCGUAGAGGGGGGUAGAAUUCCAGGUGUAGCGGUGAAAUGCGUAGAGAUCUGGAGGAAUACCGGUGGCGAAGGCGGCCCCCUGGACGAAGACUGACGCUCAGGUGCGAAAGCGUGGGGAGCAAACAGGAUUAGAUACC